UAAGUAGAAGAGUGAGUAGGGGAAGUGAAACUCGAUGGCUUAAAUUCAUGUACUUGGCUCUGUUCCCUUUUCAGACGUUAUUAAAAUGAGAGUAGAGGAAGUGUUUUUUUGUUUUGUUUUGUUUUUUAAGCACAAGCCUACUAGGAUGAAGAAAAUGAAACAGCAUUCAACAGAUUUUUGAAGACAGAUGUUGGAUGAAUGAGAGGCUAUUAACGGCUUUUGCAUCUCCACGUGGAUUAUGGUUUCUCUCUUUCAUCAACCCCUCUCUCCACGAUGUUUAUUCUCAGGAGUUAUUCCACCACUGUUAUCCUUCAGAGACCUGUCCUUUUUGGUGCUGGAGGAAAUUCUAGAGAAUAGAGGAUUAACUUCGUCAAAUGCUGCUGAAGAUCAAGAAGGAUGAGGACUGGAAUGGCCCCAUUGGAAUGAACAUCAUGGAAAACAUUGGAAUUUCAUCAGCAGCAAUUUUGAUGAUGUGGAAUAACUAGAAAUCAAUUUCACAUGAUUUGAGGAGUGAAUGCAAAAUCAGGAAGAAGAGACACAAAAAAACUCUGCCAAGAACCCCGAUUCAUUACAGAAAUAGGAUGCUAGCUGGGUGGGGGAGGGGGAUCAAGGGUUAAAAAAGACUUUUGUGUGUUUGUUUGUUUGAAGUGGGAACACACAACUAGAACUUCAUGGAGUAAGUGCCAACUCAAUAUUUUAACAGGAUUUAAGAUAAAGUUCCUUGUUUAGUUGAAUUGGAAAUCUGGAGUCAGUCAUUUAUUAUAACUCAAAGCCAUUUAUUUCACAAUUUUAUUCUCUAGUCUUAAAGUUCAACGGUAAGCAGAGACUUUUUCUAUUUUUCAUACCUAAUAACUAAAGUCUA
Molecule: long non-coding RNA, 862 nt
Organism: Camelus dromedarius (Arabian camel)
Lineage: Eukaryota; Metazoa; Chordata; Mammalia; Artiodactyla; Camelidae
Exons: 4
Source: RefSeq, a predicted model, not a curated record